This 312-nucleotide unclassified non-coding RNA is filed under the name plant metagenome. Its description in RNAcentral is "partial contains 5.8S ribosomal RNA, internal transcribed spacer 2, and large subunit ribosomal RNA". The stretch from base 1 to 105 matches the Rfam family "5.8S ribosomal RNA", at positions 50 to 154 of the family's 154-position model. The record is from RNAcentral.
GAAAUGCGAUAAGUAAUGUGAAUUGCAGAAUUCCGUGAAUCAUCGAAUCUUUGAACGCACAUUGCGCCCUCUGGCAUUCCGGGGGGCAUGCCUGUCCGAGCGUCAUUACGCACCCUCAAGCCCGGCUUGUGUGAUGGGCCCGGGCGUCUCGUUCGCGAGACGGGCCCGAAAGGCAGCGGCGGCGUCGACCCGAUGAGCCCGAGCGUAUGGGGACUUCUGUCACACGUUCGCGGUGCGGACCGGCGCCUGCUUGACUUUUCUGAUUAUCCAGGUUGACCUCGGAUCGGGUAGGGAUACCCGCUGAACUUAAGC